This 914-nucleotide ribosomal RNA is filed under the name uncultured bacterium. RNAcentral describes it as "bacterial SSU rRNA". It matches the Rfam family "Bacterial small subunit ribosomal RNA", at positions 8 to 910 of the family's 1533-position model. The record is from RNAcentral.
AGAGUUUGAUCCUGGCUCAGGAUGAACGCUGGCGGCGUGCCUAACACAUGCAAGUCGAGCGUGAACCCUGCGAAUGAAACUUCGGUCGAUUUUGCAGGAGGAAAGCGGCGGACGGGUGAGUAACGCGUAGGUAACCUGCCCCAUACUGAGGGAUAGCCUCGGGAAACCGGGAUUAAUACCUCAUAACACCGUUUGUUCGCAUGGACGAACGGUCAAAGAUUUACCGGUAUGGGAUGGGCCUGCGUCUGAUUAGCUGGUUGGUGGGGUAACGGCCUACCAAGGCGACGAUCAGUAGCCGACCUGAGAGGGUGAUCGGCCACAUUGGAACUGAGACACGGUCCAAACUCCUACGGGAGGCAGCAGUGGGGAAUAUUGCGCAAUGGACGGAAGUCUGACGCAGCGACGCCGCGUGAGCGAUGAAGGCCUUCGGGUCGUAAAGCUCUGUCCUUGGGGAAGAAGGUCUUCGGACUUGACGGUACCCAAGAAGAAAGCCCCGGCUAACUACGUGCCAGCAGCCGCGGUAAUACGUAGGGGGCGAGCGUUGUCCGGAAUUACUGGGCGUAAAGGGUGCGUAGGCGGCCCUUUAAGUCAGAUGUGAAAGCCCGCAGCUUAACUGCGGAAUUGCAUUUGAAACUGGAGGGCUUGAGUGUCGGAGAGGGUAGUGGAAUUCCCAGUGUAGCGGUGAAAUGCGUAGAUAUUGGGAGGAACACCAGUGGCGAAGGCGACUGCCUGGACGAUAACUGACGCUGAGGCACGAAAGCUAGGGGAGCAAACAGGAUUAGAUACCCUGGUAGUCCUAGCCGUAAACGAUGGGUACUAGGGUGUAGGUGGUUUCGAUACCAUCUGUGCCGUAGUUAACGCAUUAAGUACCCCGGCCGGGGGAGUACGUGCGCAAGCAUGAAACUCAAUGAAUU